This 1480-nucleotide unclassified non-coding RNA is filed under the name Hevea brasiliensis (rubber tree). Lineage: Eukaryota; Viridiplantae; Streptophyta; Magnoliopsida; Malpighiales; Euphorbiaceae. The record is from RNAcentral.
AAAUAAAAAUAAAAAUAAAAGGGGAAAAAAAAGUCAAUUGCAACAUGUUUUACAGUUAUUAUUAUUUGUACACAUUAUUUCUAAAUAAGAACCAGAACUCAGGAGAAUUCAGGUAAGAAGCUGUGGUCCUGAAAUUGAAGAGGAUUUGCCAUUUGAUAUAGAAGGUUCCUGCAACUAAUGAACUAAAGAAAUUCUGAUAGGCCUAAGCCUAAAUUCAUCGCUUUAAUUAGUUAAUCAGAAAACAUAACAAAAUUAUUUUUUUUAAAAAUGAAGCAUUAUAAAACCAAUAUAGUAUCAAAACAUCCUGAACAGUAUUUUGAAUACUCGGUUUUCUUCUUUAAACACACAAUAGAAGCCACAAGCACAAACUUGGACCAUGAAGAAUUCCACCAGAAGUGUUAGUACAACAGCAGACUAUAUGUAAGAACUCUGCAGAACAUGUUACAGAAGUCAUGCAUAUCAUCAAGAAGACGAAGGCAUAUUAUACAAACCAACAAAAUAUGAGGCAACCACACAAGCAUACAACAUGCAUAUGCAUAGUUUGCGUAUUAAAAACUAUUUCUUCUUCACAAAAUCAAACAACUGGAAUAAAUGAUUUAGAAUUUCACCUUUUCAGUCCCUUUUAUAAUAAAAUAUCCUCCAGGAUCUAGGGGACACUCACCUUAAGCCAACAGCAAAAAGUAAUUAACAAUUCUGUAUGAACAGAAAACAAAUGAAAAUGGAAAUUCAUUUAAGAGUUAGCACACAGCCACACACAAACCAAGUCUUGCAAGUUCUGCUUCAUCUUUUCCAUAUAAUACACAGCAGCGACUCCUCAACAUGAUAGGCAUUCUUCCAAUAACAACAUCAUUCUUUUCAACUCUGGUCUUUUGAUCAUGGCUUCCUUGAAUAUACUCUACAUUGACCAUUAUUGGUGCAGCAUAUGUCAAAUCAGAUAACCGGCAUGUAUGAGGGCUAAGCUGUUCACUGAUAGUGUCCACCAUCACCGAAGGUGUACCAAUCCUAACAUCUUUAAACCUGAGAUAAAUAUCAGGAUCAACAGUGGAUACAAUGCGAUCAUUGGCAUGCACAAUCUUCUUUAUACCAAUGUUUACAAAGUAAUUAAACGAGUCCAAAUGCUGCUUCACAAGACCUCUCACCUUUAAGAACUCAGGAAGAAGCGCGAAUUUAUCAACAGCGGAUUUGAUGGGAGCAGUAAGCUUUUGCUUAUCAAUGAGCUCCCCCACAUUUGGCUCUUGGUUUCCAGUAGAAGGGUCUGUCCGCAUGAGACCCAUGGAUGCUUUGCUCCUUUUGCUAAAAUCAAAUGCAAUAAUAAUAAUUUAAUGUUCGAUUUUAAUAGAAUUGGAAUCGAAUUACUUGUUUUCUGUUCGAUUUUCUUUUCUUCUCCCUCCUGUUCUCUUUGGAUGAGAAAAUUUCACUCUGGAAAUGGAAGAGUUGUGGAACGGAAAGCGGUUUAAUUUGUAGGUCGGUUACCACCAUA